UACGUAGGUGGCAAGCGUUGUUCGGAAUUACUGGGCGUAAAGGGCGCGCAGGCGGCUCUGAAAGUCAGAUGUGAAAGCCCCGGGCUUAACCUGGGAAUUGCAUUUGAUACUCUGGAGCUUGAGUGUGGGAGAGGAGAGUGGAAUUCCCAGUGUAGAGGUGAAAUUCGUAGAUAUUGGGAAGAACACCGGUGGCGAAGGCGGCUCUCUGGACCACAACUGACGCUGAGGCGCGAAAGCUAGGGGAGCAAACAGG
RNAcentral lists this ribosomal RNA (253 nucleotides) under uncultured bacterium. RNAcentral describes it as "partial 16S ribosomal RNA". It matches the Rfam family "Bacterial small subunit ribosomal RNA", at positions 524 to 776 of the family's 1533-position model. The record is from RNAcentral.